Molecule: ribosomal RNA, 611 nt
Filed under: uncultured bacterium
Lineage: Bacteria
Description: bacterial SSU rRNA
Rfam family: Bacterial small subunit ribosomal RNA
Source: RNAcentral
UAAAGAUUCAUCGGCUGCGGAUGGCCAUGCGGCGCAUUAGCUAGUCGGCGGGGUAACGGCCCACCGAGGCGACGAUGCGUAGGGGUUCUGAGAGGAAGGUCCCCCACACUGGUACUGAGACACGGACCAGACUCCUACGGGAGGCAGCAGUGAGGAAUAUUGGUCAAUGGCCGGGAGGCUGAACCAGCCAAGUCGCGUGAGGGAAGACGGCCCUACGGGUUGUAAACCUCUUUUGUCAGGGAGCAAGAGGCGGGUCGAGACCUGCUGUGAGAGUACCUGAAGAAAAAGCAUCGGCUAACUCCGUGCCAGCAGCCGCGGUAAUACGGAGGAUGCGAGCGUUAUCCGGAUUUAUUGGGUUUAAAGGGUGCGCAGGCGGAGGCACAAGUCAGCGGUAAAAUCGCGGGGCUCAACCCCGCUCCGCCGUUGAAACUGUGUCCCUUGAGUGCGCGAAGGGUAGGCGGAAUGCGUGGUGUAGCGGUGAAAUGCAUAGAUAUCACGCAGAACUCCGAUCGCGAAGGCAGCCUACCGGCGCGCAACUGACGCUCAUGCACGAAAGCGUGGGUAUCGAACAGGAUUAGAUACCCUGGUAGUCCACGCAGUAAACGAUGAAU